UAGGGAAUCUUCGGCAAUGGACGAAAGUCUGACCGAGCAACGCCGCGUGAGUGAAGAAGGUUUUCGGAUCGUAAAACUCUGUUGUUAGAGAAGAACAAGGACGUUAGUAACUGAACGUCCCCUGACGGUAUCUAACCAGAAAGCCACGGCUAACUACGUGCCAGCAGCCGCGGUAAUACGUAGGUGGCAAGCGUUGUCCGGAUUUAUUGGGCGUAAAGCGAGCGCAGGCGGUUUCUUAAGUCUGAUGUGAAAGCCCCCGGCUCAACCGGGGAGGGUCAUUGGAAACUGGGAGACUUGAGUGCAGAAGAGGAGAGUGGAAUUCCAUGGGGAGCGGUGAAAUGCGUAGAUAUAUGGAGGAACACCAGUGGCGAAGGCGGCUCUCUGGUCUGUAACUGACGCUGAGGCUCGAAAGGGUGGGGAGCAAACAGG
This 429-nucleotide ribosomal RNA is filed under the name Gemmatimonadota bacterium. Its description in RNAcentral is "Gemmatimonadetes bacterium partial 16S ribosomal RNA". It matches the Rfam family "Bacterial small subunit ribosomal RNA", at positions 355 to 776 of the family's 1533-position model. Lineage: Bacteria; Pseudomonadati; Gemmatimonadota. The record is from RNAcentral.